AUUACUCCAGCAUUUUAUUUUAUUUAUGCUUUCUGUUCAACUUUUUCUUCUUCUGCAAAAAGAUCAGAUCUUUGGGGUUUUGGCUUGAUCAGCGAUCUUUUCUUCAAUUUAGUCUUAAGAUCCAUUUCAGAAAGGUGAAAAUAAGCUGAGGUUGGAUUUUGAUUCGUUCUCUGUUUUUAUUAAUUUAUUUUGGAUUUCUUAUGUGAAUUCUAAGUUCUCUUUAUUUUAUUUUUUCUGCUAUUCUACUUUCUUUAAAAGAUUGUUAGAAGUUCAUUAACAUAUCUGCUUGUCGGAGGGCAAUUUCGUCUUUACAGUGUUAUUGUGCUAUGAACAAAUCUUGUGGUAUCCCUGUACCAAUGAAUUUGAAUAGGUAAUUUCGCAAGCUAACCUGAUAAUCACCACUUAAUUCUCUGCAAUACCAAGAUUUUCCUCCGCAUCUCCGUCGUCUCUUUGUUUUGAUUCUCUUGGCUUCUCCGCUGAUUUCUAUCUUUUUCAUGUUGCACAUCAAUUUCUGUUAUAUAUUUCAGGAUAGUUUAACAGGAGAUUGUGGUUUUUAUUGUAUUUUUGCAAUUCUAUAUUUGCUCAAGAUAAUAACAUGAUUAAAAGAUUAGUUUUACUGUGUUGUUUCUUUUCCUUCAUAGGGGUGUCUCUUGUGUUUUGUUUCAGGGUUCUUGUUGGGUUGUUCGAAUAUUCAUUAUAAUUUUAUCUUGUUGUUCGAAUAUUCAUUAUAAUUUUAUCUUAAAUUUUUGUGAAAUUCAAAAAACUGCUUAAGAAGAAAUCGGGGUUUCCGCGUAUUUGAAGGUUUUAUCAUUUUUAAAAAUUGGGGCUUUCAUAAUGGAUGAUCCUGUAACUUUCUUGGAUUUGACUUUUGAGCUACACUUUUAAUGGGCUUCUGGUUUAUUUUAAUUUUUCCCUGUAUUUACAUGAAAAAAGAUGACUUAGUCCUUCAUUGUUUGGAAGUUUUGUAUUAUCACUUCUUAUUUCUCAUGCCGAAUUUUACCUUCACAAGCUAUGAGAUUUCAAGUUCCUUCAAUUGAGAUUGGCUUUACUAUCAUGUAAAUAAUAUAAGAGAAAAGAACACCUACGGUGAAUACUAUUUCUAAACUGCGUAAAUUGUGCUAAGCCGUAGUAGUUAUAGUAUUAUUGUCCAAUUAAUUAAUCCGCCAGUUGAUGUGUAUAAUUGUAGUCCGGAGGAGACGAUACACAUUUCUGUUUUUAGAGCAAGAAUUAGAGUUAUUGCUAUAACUACACUUGCGAUAAAGAAGUCACUUCUACACUUUUAUCACCGGAAGAGAUAACAUUUUCUAUUUUACACAACCAACUCUUUUGAAAACAACUAAUGAAUUUUAUUUUAUUCUGUUCGGACACUAUUAUUCGUCCAUUGGUCGAGCAGGAUUUUCAAAGCUUGCAGCAAUUAUUUCCUGAAAUUUUUUGUUUUGAUUUACUGUCCGAAUAAUUACUGUGCAUGUAUUUAGUUACAUGUUUAACUUGCAUUUUAAAGUUGCUUAGUUAUGUAUAUAUAAUUAUUUUCUCUCUGUGUUGCUGAAGUUGGACUGACUCAAUAAAUUUCUUGAGCACGUGUCCUUAUUUGGACAACGUACUCUUCAUUUCUUAAAAGUAUCUUGAAUAGGUAACUAGCUUGUGCUAAACUAUUUUGUAUACACUAGUUACUUACAGGACUGCAAAAAAUAUUGUUAAUUGGAGAGCGAAUUUUGAAGUAUAAAAUUAACUCUGCUGAAUUUGAAACAUCGAAUGGGGUUCUUUACCUACUUUCCAAGCUCAGUGAUUUCUUAAUGGCCAGAAAUAAACUUAGUUGGUAUUUUUAUUUUCAGAUAGUGUUCCGACUUGCUAGAAAUUAGACUGUGGCAUAAGAUACUGAAGAUGCUAUUUGUACCUAUCUUCUUUCCAUUUGUAUUGUAGAAAAACAUUAGAUGACAAUUGUUAAGUGGUCUUGAUGGUUUCAUUUAGCAAACAAAUGUUUUGCAUAAGUCGCAUGAUUAGUGCAAGUUAUGGAAAAAUUGACUUUAUUGAGAAAGUUCGAUUAGUAAAGUUUAUUCCUUUGACACAAAGAUACAAACUAGUCAACUAAAAGGUCUUGUACAUAUCAGAAUUCCAUGCUUUUUUUGAGAAGAUAUGACUUACAUAUGAAAUUUUAAUGGAAGUGGCAUAUAUUUACUUAAUCUUGGUAAACCUUCUUGAGAUAGGGUUUUACCAAGUUCACUUAAGUUAUCAAAUGUAAAUAUGUAUGCUCCUACAGUCAUUACCAAUACGUCUAUGUAUAUCAGUUACGCUAUUCAUCUACUAAUAUUUUUAGAAAGUUUCACUUGAUUCUGCUUCAACAAUGUAAAAGUCAUCAUGAAUAUUUUCAUGGAUCCUCCUUUUAACUCUGUCUUCUACCUUGUGCAUAUCAACCAGGCUAUUAUUAUUGAAGUCGGACAUUCUAGGCAAGUUCGUUUUGAUUUUGGAUGCGGUACAUUGGAAUCCUGAAGCACCAUCACGAACGUUAUUGGACGUCCGCCUGCGACACACGAUCUUCCUUUCUGAUGAAUUAGUUCACAACACAGCUCAGCACGAUCUACUUUUUGACGAACUUAUAUGAUGUUGGAAACUGAAUUUUAGAAGACAAAGAAUAAAAAACUUUAUACGCUUUGCUUUUGGGUCUUUGCAGAUAUUAUCACA
Molecule: long non-coding RNA, 2679 nt
Filed under: Nicotiana tabacum (common tobacco)
Lineage: Eukaryota; Viridiplantae; Streptophyta; Magnoliopsida; Solanales; Solanaceae
Description: long non-coding RNA (NTAB_LNC004628)
Source: RNAcentral